AAAACAUGUCUUUUUGAUAAAAAUUUAAAGUCAGGUCUGCUCACUGAAUUAUUUUAAAGAGCCGCAGUAUAUUGACUGUGCAAAGGUAGCAUAAUCAAUAGUUUCUUAAUUGGGAACUAGAAUGAAAGAUUAGACGAAAAAUUAAUUUUCUUUGUUUUAAUAAAUUUAAUUUUAAAUUUAAGUGAAAAUGCUUAAAUACAAUUAAAAGACGAGAAGACCCUAUAGAUUUUUAUUAUUGAAAUAAAUUUUUAAAUUUAAUUUAAUAAGAUAAUUUAAUUGGGGCGAUUUUAUAAUAUAAAUAACUUAAUUUUUUUAAACCAUAAAUAAUUGAAUAUUUGAUCUAAAAUUUUUAAAGAAAAGAUUAAAUUACCUUAGGGAUAACAGCGUAAUUUUAUUUAAGAGUUCAUAUCUAUAAUAAAGUUUGCGACCUCGAUGUUGAAUUAAGAUAAUAUAUUGGAGUAGAAAUUAAUAUAAUUAGUCUGUUCGACUAUUAAAUUCUUACGUGAUCUG
RNAcentral lists this ribosomal RNA (510 nucleotides) under Ptycta placophora. RNAcentral describes it as "partial 16S ribosomal RNA". The stretch from base 377 to 510 matches the Rfam family "Bacterial large subunit ribosomal RNA", at positions 2473 to 2607 of the family's 2925-position model. RNAcentral also lists the same sequence under 1 other name. The record is from RNAcentral. Lineage: Eukaryota; Metazoa; Arthropoda; Insecta; Psocodea; Psocidae.